GAUGAAGAACGUAGCGAAAUGCGAUAAGUAGUGUGAAUUGCAGAAUUCAGUGAAUCAUCGAAUCUUUGAACGCACAUUGCGCCCUUCGGUAUUCCGUUGGGCAUGCCUGUUCGAGCGUCAUUUAAACCUUCAAGCUAUGCUUGGUGUUGGGUGUUUGUUCCGCCUCUGCGCGUGGACUCGCCUUAAAAUAAUUGGCAGCCGGCGUAUUGAUUUCGGAGCGCAGUACAUCUCGCGCUUUGCACUCAUAACGACGACGUCCAAAAGUACAUUUUUACACUCUUGACCUCGGAUCAGGUAGGGAUACCCGCUGAACUUAAGCAUAUCAAUAAGCGGAGGA
This 337-nucleotide unclassified non-coding RNA is filed under the name soil metagenome. Its description in RNAcentral is "partial contains 5.8S ribosomal RNA, internal transcribed spacer 2, and large subunit ribosomal RNA". The stretch from base 1 to 120 matches the Rfam family "5.8S ribosomal RNA", at positions 35 to 154 of the family's 154-position model. The record is from RNAcentral.